UGUAAAUAAUGACAACUUAGAAAAUUUCAUGGAAAAAGUGAUCCUAAUCCUAAUAGCAAUAAAUAUUUUGUCUGUAUCUGAUUAUCCUUUGUAUUUCAGAUAAUGGAAAAGUUCCUCUGAACUCCUUGAUAAACAUAGCAAGUUUAUUUUCUGGUAAUAAGAUUAAUGCCAAGGAUACACAACUUUAUCUGGAAAAUAUAGGUAUUGAAUUAACAAAGAGCGAAAGUCAGGAGCUAUUGGACACACUGCCAUUGGAUGAAAAUCAAAUGGUGUAUAAAAACAGGUUGAUGGACGGAGUAAAGAAAUACAGAGGAGGAAAGGUUAAUAUCAAUAAAAUAGAUGAUGCUCUUAAGAACAUGGGAUUCCUACUUGAUGAGGAAGACAUUGAGGAACUAUGCAGUCACCUGCCAAUUGAUGGUAAGCACUUCAAGUACCCAGUGCCCUGUAAAAAAAUUUUUUUAUUUAUCUGUAGAAAUAUCUGAAGUAUACUUGUUAAUUU
Molecule: long non-coding RNA, 499 nt
Filed under: Capra hircus (goat)
Lineage: Eukaryota; Metazoa; Chordata; Mammalia; Artiodactyla; Bovidae
Description: lncRNA (ENSCHIG00000005441.1)
Source: RNAcentral